GCGCCGCAUAAGUGCCUAGUGGACAUGGCACCUGCCCGGUAAGCAGAAGGUUGUGGGUUCGAUUCCCGCCCCUGGACACU
This 80-nucleotide transfer RNA is filed under the name Cordylochernes scorpioides. Its description in RNAcentral is "tRNA-Thr". The stretch from base 14 to 69 matches the Rfam family "tRNA", at positions 10 to 63 of the family's 71-position model. From Rfam's summary of the family: Transfer RNA (tRNA) molecules are approximately 80 nucleotides in length. The record is from RNAcentral. Lineage: Eukaryota; Metazoa; Arthropoda; Arachnida; Pseudoscorpiones; Chernetidae.